This 90-nucleotide transfer RNA is filed under the name Thelonectria olida. It matches the Rfam family "tRNA". Rfam says of the family: Transfer RNA (tRNA) molecules are approximately 80 nucleotides in length. Their secondary structure includes four short double-helical elements and three loops (D, anti-codon, and T loops). Lineage: Eukaryota; Fungi; Ascomycota; Sordariomycetes; Hypocreales; Nectriaceae. The record is from Rfam by way of RNAcentral.
CCCCAAAUAGCUCAGCUGGAAGAGCGUUCGGCUGUAAUCGCCCCUAUCGUGUUUACCGAAAGGUCACCUGUUCGAGCCAGGUUUUGGGGA